This 479-nucleotide ribosomal RNA is filed under the name uncultured organism. Its description in RNAcentral is "partial 16S ribosomal RNA". It matches the Rfam family "Bacterial small subunit ribosomal RNA", at positions 331 to 801 of the family's 1533-position model. The record is from RNAcentral.
GUACACUCCUGCGGGAGGCAGCAGUGGGGAAUUUUGGACAAUGGGCGAAAGCCUGAUCCAGCAAUGCCGCGUGAGUGAAGAAGGCCUUCGGGUUGUAAAGCUCUUUUGUCAGGGAAGAAACGGUGAAAGCUAAUAUCUUUUGCUAAUGACGGUACCUGAAGAAUAAGCACCGGCUAACUACGUGCCAGCAGCCGCGGUAAUACGUAGGGUGCAAGCGUUAAUCGGAAUUACUGGGCGUAAAGCGUGCGCAGGCGGUUUUGUAAGUCUGAUGUGAAAUCCCCGGGCUCAACCUGGGAAUUGCAUUGGAGACUGCAAGGCUAGAAUCUGGCAGAGGGGGGUAGAAUUCCACGUGUAGCAGUGAAAUGCGUAGAUAUGUGGAGGAACACCGAUGGCGAAGGCAGCCCCCUGGGUCAAGAUUGACGCUCAUGCACGAAAGCGUGGGGAGCAAACAGGAUUAGAAACCCGAGUAGUCCCAUGAU